AAGGUAGCCGUACCGGAAGGUGCGGCUGGAUCACCUCCUUUCUAAGGAGCACCACGAGAAACACUCCAAUUGGUGGGGUGUGAGCCGUGAGGGGUUCUCGUCUGUAGUGGACGAGGGCCGGGUGCACAACAACAGGCAAUCGCCAGACACACUAUUGGGCCCUGAGACAACACUCGGCCGACUUCGGUUGAAGUGGUGUCCCUCCAUCUUGGUGGUGGGGUGUGGUGUUUGAGUAUUGGAUAGUGGUUGCGAGCAUCUAAAUGA
This 264-nucleotide unclassified non-coding RNA is filed under the name Mycobacterium simiae. RNAcentral describes it as "partial contains 16S ribosomal RNA and 16S-23S ribosomal RNA intergenic spacer". Lineage: Bacteria; Bacillati; Actinomycetota; Actinomycetes; Mycobacteriales; Mycobacteriaceae. The record is from RNAcentral.